AAGUCGUAACAAGGUUUCUGUAGGUGAACCUGCAGAAGGAUCAUUAGUGAAGAUUUGGGCAGGCCAUACGGACGCCAAAAAGUGUCCCUGGCCGCCUACACCCACUAUACAUCCACAAACCCGUGUGCACUGUCUUGGAGAAAGGCUUCAGAGAAGUUUUUUGUGGCCUCUCUUGGGGUCUUUCUUCGCUACAAACUCGAAUGGUUAGUAUGAACGUGGAACUUGGUUGGACCGUCACUGGCCAACAAACUAUACACAACUUUCGACAACGGAUCUCUUGGUUCUG
RNAcentral lists this unclassified non-coding RNA (286 nucleotides) under Malassezia restricta. Its description in RNAcentral is "partial internal transcribed spacer region". The stretch from base 1 to 46 matches the Rfam family "Eukaryotic small subunit ribosomal RNA", at positions 1786 to 1831 of the family's 1831-position model. Lineage: Eukaryota; Fungi; Basidiomycota; Malasseziomycetes; Malasseziales; Malasseziaceae. The record is from RNAcentral.